Molecule: unclassified non-coding RNA, 353 nt
Filed under: uncultured fungus
Lineage: Eukaryota; Fungi
Description: partial contains small subunit ribosomal RNA, internal transcribed spacer 1, and 5.8S ribosomal RNA
Rfam family: Eukaryotic small subunit ribosomal RNA (bases 1-73)
Source: RNAcentral
GCAAACUUGGUCAUUUAGAGGAAGUAAAAGUCGUAACAAGGUUUCCGUAGGUGAACCUGCGGAAGGAUCAUUAAAAGGUAUGGCCGCGGGAGACGGCUCUAGUAGUCACUCCCGCGCCUUUAUACUUGCUCACACCGUGUUGCUGAAAUGUCUGUCGCUUCGGGCGGCGGCGAGUUGUGCUGGCGCACCUUUCCUCAGGUGUGCUCUCUCUACACCGCCGCCCGACAGCACACUCUGUUUCACGCCUUGAUUGCCUAGCGAGUACUGAUCGAAUCGUACCGCAUCAGGUACACAAACACAAUACAACUGCUAGCAACGGAUCACUUGGUUCCCGCAUCGAUGAAGAACGCAGC